Nannospalax galili (Upper Galilee mountains blind mole rat) is the source of this 238-nucleotide long non-coding RNA. RefSeq lists it as uncharacterized. The record is from RefSeq and is a predicted model, not a curated record. Lineage: Eukaryota; Metazoa; Chordata; Mammalia; Rodentia; Spalacidae. The transcript has 4 exons.
GAGUGCAUGAUCAGCUCAUGACCAUCCUUAAGAUACACCCUCAGGGGGAAGGGGGGAUUUCCAGGUGCCUUUAUAAGCUCUGUAACACAAAAGGUACAGUGCAUUUUCGUAUAUGGCCAAACUGAGCAAAGUAUGUCCUCAGCUCACUCGACGCCGCGGUCCAAGGAAUUCUACGGAUAAAAGCAACCGACGGAGCCAGCGUCAUUCCGCGUCUCACUGCCGAGGCAGCCAUGUUGAG